UUAGGCGGCCGGGUUUCGCCACCAUUAACCCCCGCUGCAGAAGUCGUGGAUGGAGCCCGGCUCCCGUAGGAGUCCGGAUGAAGUCUUCCUUGUAGGCGGAACCCGGUUCCUGUAGGAGUCCGGGUGAAAUCUUCCUUGUAGGUGGAACCCGGCUCCCGUAGGAGUCCGGGUGAAGUCUUCCUUGUAGGUGAAACCUGGCUCCCGUAGGAGUCCGGGUGAAGUCUUCCUUGUAGGUGGAACCCGGCUCCCGUA
This 252-nucleotide long non-coding RNA is filed under the name Elaeis guineensis (African oil palm). Its description in RNAcentral is "long non-coding RNA (EGUI_LNC080277)". Lineage: Eukaryota; Viridiplantae; Streptophyta; Magnoliopsida; Arecales; Arecaceae. The record is from RNAcentral.